AUACGGAGGGGGCUAGCGUUGCUCGGAAUUACUGGGCGUAAAGGGCUCGUAGGCGGUCUGAUAAGUCCUGUGUGAAAUCCCUUGGCUUAACCAAGGAACCGCGCCGGAUACUGUCGGACUUGAGGCCGGGAGAGGGAAGCGGAAUUCCCAGUGUAGCGGUGAAAUGCGUAGAUAUCCGGAGGAACAUCAGUGGCGAAGGCGACUACCUGGACUAACAUUGACGCUGAGGUGCGAAAGCGUGGGGAGCAAACAGGAUUAGAAACCCGAGUAGUCC
Molecule: ribosomal RNA, 274 nt
Filed under: uncultured bacterium
Lineage: Bacteria
Description: partial 16S ribosomal RNA
Rfam family: Bacterial small subunit ribosomal RNA
Source: RNAcentral